Molecule: long non-coding RNA, 626 nt
Organism: Musa acuminata AAA Group (dessert banana)
Lineage: Eukaryota; Viridiplantae; Streptophyta; Magnoliopsida; Zingiberales; Musaceae
Exons: 3
Source: RefSeq, a predicted model, not a curated record
GAUCGGGGUGUCGAACGACGAAGGGGUGGGUCGCAUGGAACGGACGUGGUGGAUGGUUUGGAAAGGGGACGGAAAGCGACGGGAGCGAAGGGGAGAAGCCGAUGGACAGAGUUUGGAUCAAGAAGUGUCGAGCUCUACCCUAGAAGAUUACAUCCGAGGGAAAGAGAGGAGAAACUCGAGGGCCGAUGGGUGGCGACCUCGACGUGGGGGCGCAUCACUCGGACGUGGUGGAUGUUUUGGACGAAGGGAGACGGGAACAACGGGAGCGAAGGGGAGGAGACAAUGCAUACCGUUUGGAUCAAGAUGUUUAAACUGUGCCCUAAUCGGUUGCAUUCUAGGCAGAGUGGAGAGAAUCUCGAGUGACAUUGUUCUGAGGGAAGGGGUUGAAUCGAUUGAUUUCCGGCGUUCAAGGAUGACAAGACACAGAUCCCUGGCCUAGAAGCAGAAAUGAGAUGGAAUUCUGCUUCUUGAUGUCAACAUAAUUCUAGGAGCUGGAGAUUAUUGUGCAUGGGCAGCACUUCCAGUUUACACACAAGGAGAGCCAACAGAAGGUGUGGGCAGGUCGUUCGUCACUGACAAAGGUAAUCGAAAGCCCACGAGGAAAAGAAGGGAAUGCUGUAAAAGGU